UUUGUACUACCAAAGUUGGAACAAAUAACUAAUAUAUUGGAUGAUAAGCAAUCAAAAUUGGCUACUCCCACCUCUUCUCCUGACCCAAUAUUUACAG
Molecule: long non-coding RNA, 97 nt
Filed under: Monodelphis domestica (gray short-tailed opossum)
Lineage: Eukaryota; Metazoa; Chordata; Mammalia; Didelphimorphia; Didelphidae
Description: lncRNA (ENSMODG00000046237.1)
Source: RNAcentral